RNAcentral lists this ribosomal RNA (497 nucleotides) under uncultured bacterium. Its description in RNAcentral is "partial 16S ribosomal RNA". It matches the Rfam family "Bacterial small subunit ribosomal RNA", at positions 28 to 507 of the family's 1533-position model. The record is from RNAcentral.
GAUGAACGCUGGCGGCGUGCCUAAUACAUGCAAGUCGAGCGAACAGACGAGGAGCUUGCUCCUCUGACGUUAGCGGCGGACGGGUGAGUAACACGUGGAUAACCUACCUAUAAGACUGGGAUAACUUCGGGAAACCGGAGCUAAUACCGGAUAAUAUAUUGAACCGCAUGGUUCAAUAGUGAAAGACGGUUUUGCUGUCACUUAUAGAUGGAUCCGCGCCGCAUUAGCUAGUUGGUAAGGUAACGGCUUACCAAGGCAACGAUGCGUAGCCGACCUGAGAGGGUGAUCGGCCACACUGGAACUGAGACACGGUCCAGACUCCUACGGGAGGCAGCAGUAGGGAAUCUUCCGCAAAGGGCGAAAGCCUGACGGAGCAACGCCGCGUGGGUGAUGAAGGUCUUCGGAUCGUAAAACUCUGUUAUUAGGGAAGAACAAAUGUGUAAGUAACUAUGCACGUCUUGACGGUACCUAAUCAGAAAGCCACGGCUAACUACGUG